GGGACGUUAGCUCAGCUGGAUAGAGUUGCGGACUUCGAAUCCGUCGGUCGUAGGUUCGAAUCCUACACGUCCCGCCA
RNAcentral lists this transfer RNA (77 nucleotides) under Bacteriovorax sp. MedPE-SWde. Its description in RNAcentral is "tRNA-Arg". It matches the Rfam family "tRNA". Rfam says of the family: Transfer RNA (tRNA) molecules are approximately 80 nucleotides in length. Lineage: Bacteria; Pseudomonadati; Bdellovibrionota; Bacteriovoracia; Bacteriovoracales; Bacteriovoracaceae. The record is from RNAcentral.